This 479-nucleotide ribosomal RNA is filed under the name uncultured bacterium. RNAcentral's name for it is "partial 16S ribosomal RNA". It matches the Rfam family "Bacterial small subunit ribosomal RNA", at positions 28 to 507 of the family's 1533-position model. The record is from RNAcentral.
GAUGAACGCUGGCGGCGUGCUUAACACAUGCAAGUCGAACGAAGCACUUAAGAUUGAUUCCUCGGAUGACGUCUUUUGUGACUUAGUGGCGGACGGGUGCGUAACGCGUGGGUAACCUGCCUCACACAGGGGGAUAACAGUUAGAAAUGACUGCUAAUACCGCAUAACCCGAUAGGAUCGCAUGAUCCAGACGGGAAAGAUUUAUCGGUGUGAGAUGGACCCGCGUCUGAUUAGCUAGUUGGUGAGGUAACGGCCCACCAAGGCGACGAUCAGUAGCCGGCCUGAGAGGGUGAACGGCCACAUUGGGACUGAGACACGGCCCAAACUCCUACGGGAGGCAGCAGUGGGGAAUAUUGCACAAUGGGGGAAACCCUGAUGCAGCGACGCCGCGUGAGUGAAGAAGUAUUUCGGUAUGUAAAGCUCUAUCAGCAGGGAAGAAAAUGACGGUACCUGACUAAGAAGCCCCGGCUAACUACGUG